GUCCCCGUUCAGAUUCACAUCUUGGUUUGCUGUAUAGCUUCUGACAACCACAAAACUCUGAAGCUUCUAACUGAUGAGCAGAAAUGAGAGCCUGUUGUGUUGUCUGAUGCAGAACAGUGACUCAGGGAAUGCUUGUUACCCAGUGAAUGAAGGAGCUAGAAACCAUAAAACACCAUCAACAAGAAGUGAGAUUGGAAAGUCAGCAGGGAAGUCACAGGA
Long non-coding RNA from Talpa occidentalis (Iberian mole), 219 nucleotides. RefSeq lists it as uncharacterized. The transcript has 3 exons. NCBI's taxonomy places the organism in Eukaryota, Metazoa, Chordata, Mammalia, Eulipotyphla, Talpidae. The record is from RefSeq and is a predicted model, not a curated record.